AGUGAACGCUGGCGGUAGGCCUAACACAUGCAAGUCGAACGGCAGCACAGUAAGAGCUUGCUCUUACGGGUGGCGAGUGGCGGACGGGUGAGGAUUACAUCGGAAUCUACUUUUUCGUGGGGGAUAACGUAGGGAAACUUACGCUAAUACCGCAUACGACCUACGGGUGAAAGCAGGGGAUCUUCGGACCUUGCGCGAUUGAAUGAGCCGAUGUCGGAUUAGCUAGUUGGCGGGGUAAAGGCCCACCAAGGCGACGAUCCGUAGCUGGUCUGAGAGGAUGAUCAGCCACACUGGAACUGAGACACGGUCCAGACUCCGACGGGAGGCAGCAGUGGGGAAUAUUGGACAAUGGGCGCAAGCCUGAUCCAGCCAUACCGCGUGGGUGAAGAAGGCCUUCGGGUUGUAAAGCCCUUUUGUUGGGAAAGAAAAGCAGUAGGUUAAUACCCCGCUGUUCUGACGGUACCCAAAGAAUAAGCACCGGCUAACUUCGUG
Molecule: ribosomal RNA, 492 nt
Filed under: uncultured bacterium
Lineage: Bacteria
Description: partial 16S ribosomal RNA
Rfam family: Bacterial small subunit ribosomal RNA
Source: RNAcentral